GAUGAACGCUGGCGGCGUGCCUAAUACAUGCAAGUCGAACGAAACUUCUUUAUCACCGAGUGCUUGCACUCACCGAUAAAGAGUUGAGUGGCGAACGGGUGAGUAACACGUGGGCAACCUGCCCAAAAGAGGGGGAUAACACUUGGAAACAGGUGCUAAUACCGCAUAACCAUAGUUACCGCAUGGUAACUAUGUAAAAGGUGGCUAUACUACCGCUUUUGGAUGGGCCCGCGGCGCAUUAGCUAGUUGGUAGGGUAAAGGCUUACCAAGGCAAUGAUGCGUAGCUGAAUUGAGAGGUUGAUCGGCCACAUUGGGACUGAGACACGGCCCAAACUCCUACGGGAGGCAGCAGUAGGGAAUCUUCCACAAUGGGCGAAAGCCUGUUGGAGCAACGCCGCGUGGGUGAAGAAGGUCUUCGGAUCGUAAAACCCUGUUGUUAGAGAAGAAAGUGCGUGAGAGUAACUGUUCACGUUUCGACGGUAUCUAACCAGAAAGCCACGGCUAACUACGUG
This 512-nucleotide ribosomal RNA is filed under the name uncultured bacterium. RNAcentral's name for it is "partial 16S ribosomal RNA". It matches the Rfam family "Bacterial small subunit ribosomal RNA", at positions 28 to 507 of the family's 1533-position model. The record is from RNAcentral.